This 986-nucleotide long non-coding RNA is filed under the name Homo sapiens (human). RNAcentral's name for it is "HSALNT0275287". Lineage: Eukaryota; Metazoa; Chordata; Mammalia; Primates; Hominidae. The record is from RNAcentral.
UCCAAAUACGCAGCCGAAACCAUCGCUCUUGCAGGUGCAGCUUUUCUCUGCCUCUCCUAUGUGGAAAGCAGCGCAGCGUGGACUCCAGCCAAACUCCCUCGAUUGGAUUGCAGCUCUCUGGCUCUCUGUCCCUGUGACCUUGGGCAGUUUACCUCCUCUAUGUCUCAGUUUCCUCAGCUGUGCAAAGGGGUUACUGAUCCUGCUUAAUGGGAGCUGUGUGUAACGGGACGUUUAAUGAGCCUUUUCCUGUUACCCUGGAAUUAGUGAGUCAGGGCACAAAGGUGAGUACCCAGAGGCAUUCAGUAUCCCACACUGUAAAGGCAGCACAACAUGGCAGCACCCAGAGCUUAUUGUUAGAGGGCUGAAGAGCCAGCCCUGCCAUUCUGAACCACCACCACCCUACCCUCAGGCUUACAUAACUGGACAACGGGGGAGGGAUGGGGCGGGAGGAAGGGUAAGAGUUUCCCUAAGCAGCUUCCUGGGUGCAGAAAUAGGGAGGGUGCGGUGCUAUUACUAAAGCCAACAGGGUGUAGCUCAAAGAGAGUUACCAUAAUGACUUCAGAUGCCUAAAAAAGAGAGGCUGGCAUCUUCCCUGAUUGGAUGUCUGCUUGGACAGUGUGAGCUUGCUAGACUGCCUUUAUACCUGGCUUUGAAGAAAUCUAGAAAACUCAGAGACCUCUGGGCAAGGGUCUUCAGGGGGCUUCCCUGUCAUUGCUUGUGCUGUCCAAUGCCAGACCACAUCCACUAGGCAAGAGGCUGUGGAGCAAACAGCAAUAGGGAGUAACACUGAUGGCAAAGCUAGUUGGAGUUGGGAGUGAAGGAGGUUGAGCUAGAGCUCGUUUCCCAUAUCAGAACACUCUAUACUGAAGAUACCCUGCAGAGCCUUUGGAAAAACUUACAUGAACUCCCCAUGAAAGAAGGUCAGUGGGGCUGGGCGCGGUGGCUCAUGCCUGUAAUCCCAACACUUCAGGAGGCCAAGGCGGGCA